RNAcentral lists this ribosomal RNA (807 nucleotides) under uncultured bacterium. RNAcentral's name for it is "bacterial SSU rRNA". It matches the Rfam family "Bacterial small subunit ribosomal RNA", at positions 8 to 798 of the family's 1533-position model. The record is from RNAcentral.
AGAGUUUGAUCAUGGCUCAGGACGAACGCUGGCGGCGUGCCUAAUACAUGCAAGUAGAACGCUGAAGAGAGGAGCUUGCUCUUCUUGGAUGAGUUGCGAACGGGUGAGUAACGCGUAGGUAACCUGCCUGGUAGCGGGGGAUAACUAUUGGAAACGAUAGCUAAUACCGCAUAAAAUUGAUUAUUGCAUGAUAAUUAAUUGAAAGAUGCAAUUGCAUCACUACCAGAUGGACCUGCGUUGUAUUAGCUAGUUGGUGAGGUAACGGCUCACCAAGGCGACGAUACAUAGCCGACCUGAGAGGGUGAUCGGCCGCACUGGGACUGAGACACGGCCCAGACUCCUACGGGAGGCAGCAGUAGGGAAUCUUCGGCAAUGGGGGAAACCCUGACCGAGCAACGCCGCGUGAGUGAAGAAGGUUUUCGGAUCGUAAAGCUCUGUUGUAAGAGAAGAACGGGUGUGAGAGUGGAAAGUUCACACUGUGACGGUAUCUUACCAGAAAGGGACGGCUAACUACGUGCCAGCAGCCGCGGUAAUACGUAGGUCCCGAGCGUUGUCCGGAUUUAUUGGGCGUAAAGCGAGCGCAGGCGGUUAGAUAAGUCUGAAGUUAAAGGCUGUGGCUUAACCAUAGUAUGCUUUGGAAACUGUUUAACUUGAGUGCAGAAGGGGAGAGUGGAAUUCCAUGUGUAGCGGUGAAAUGCGUAGAUAUAUGGAGGAACACCGGUGGCGAAAGCGGCUCUCUGGUCUGUAACUGACGCUGAGGCUCGAAAGCGUGGGGAGCAAACAGGAUUAGAUACCCCGGUAGUCCAA